ACAGCGACAGCUCAUCUGGUGGAGCAUCUGCCCGGUAUGCGGAGGGUCGCCGCUUCGAUUCCGGUUCGCGGUG
This 73-nucleotide transfer RNA is filed under the name Fasciola hepatica (liver fluke). RNAcentral's name for it is "tRNA-Thr". The record is from RNAcentral. Lineage: Eukaryota; Metazoa; Platyhelminthes; Trematoda; Plagiorchiida; Fasciolidae.